GCAUAUCAAUAAGCGGAGGAAAAGAAACUAACAAGGAUUCCCCUAGUAACUGCGAGUGAAGCGGGAAAAGCUCAAAUUUAAAAUCUGGCAGUCUUUUGGCUGUCCGAGUUGUAAUUUAGAGAAGCGUCUUCCGCGCCGGACCGUGCACAAGUCUCCUGGAAUGGAGCGUCAUAGAGGGUGAGAAUCCCGUCUUUGGCAUGGACACCCGGGGCUUCUGCGAUGCGCUCUCGAAGAGUCGAGUUGUUUGGGAAUGCAGCUCAAAAUGGGUGGUGAACUCCAUCUAAAGCUAAAUAUUGGCGAGAGACCGAUAGCGAACAAGUACCGUGAGGGAAAGAUGAAAAGCACUUUGGAAAGAGAGUGAAACAGUACGUGAAAUUGUUGAAAGGGAAACGCUUGAAGUCAGUCGCGUCGAUCGAGACUCAGCCUUGCCUUGGCUUGGCAUACUUCUCGGCUGACGGGCCAGCAUCAAUUUUGUCUCUCGGAUAAUGACAAGGGAAAGGUGGCACCUUCACCGGUGUGUUAUAGUCUCCUGUCGCAUGCGAGGGGUGGGAUUGAGGAACUCAGCACGCACCUCUUGGUGUCGGGGCUUCUGCCCACGCUACGUGCUUAGGAUGUUGGCGUAAUGGCUUUAAACGACCCGUCUUGAAACAC
Molecule: ribosomal RNA, 651 nt
Filed under: Lactifluus piperatus
Lineage: Eukaryota; Fungi; Basidiomycota; Agaricomycetes; Russulales; Russulaceae
Description: LSU rRNA
Rfam family: Eukaryotic large subunit ribosomal RNA
Source: RNAcentral